GAGUGGUAGGGGAGCGUUCCCAUGCCGGCGAAGCGGCGGCGUAAGCCAGCCGUGGAGGCAUGGGAAGUGAGAAUGCUGGCAUGAGUAACGAAAGAGGAGUGAGAAACUCCUCCGCCGAAUGCCUAAGGGUUCCUGAGUAAAGCUAAUCUGCUCAGGGUUAGUCGGGACCUAAGCCGAGGCCGAAAGGCGUAGGCGAUGGACAACAGGUUGAUAUUCCUGUACCACGUCCCCACCGCUAUCACCAAUGGCGGGACGGGGUAGGCUACGGAAUCCCAGGCGAUGGUCGUCCUGGGGUAACCGCGUAGGGCGGGUGAUAGGGAAAUCCGUCACCCAUCAAGCCUGAGACGGGAUGCCGAGCCUCGAGAGAGGCGAAGUUCCUGAAGCCAUGCCUCCUAGAAAAGCGUCUAGGGAGGUGGGACGUGCCCGUACCAAAACCGACACAGGUAGGCAGGUAGAGAAUACCAAGGCGAUCGGAAGAACCCUCGUUAAGGAACUCGGCAAAAUGGCCCCGUAACUUCGGGAGAAGGGGCGCCCCGGUAGGGUGAAAUUCCUUCGCGGAAUUAGCCCGAGGGGGCCGCAGUGAAACGGCCCAAGCGACUGUUUACCAAAAACACAGGUCUCUGCUAAGUCGCAAGACGACGUAUAGGGGCUGACGCCUGCCCGGUGCCGGAAGGUUACGUGGAGGUGUUAGGGCUUCGGCCCGAAGCACUGAAACUAAGCCCCGGUAAACGGCGGCGGUAACUAUAACCGUCCUAAGGUAGCGAAAUUCCUUGUCGGGUAAGUUCCGACCUGCACGAAUGGCGUAACGACUUGGGCGCUGUCUCAACGAGGGAUCCGGUGAAAUUGUAGUCUCGGUGAAGAUGCCGAGUACCCGUGGUUGGACGGAAAGACCCCGUGAACCUUUACUGCAGCUUUACGUUGAAGUCUGGUGUUCGUUGUCCAGGAUAGGUGGGAGCCUUCGAAGCCGGAGCGCCAGCUCUGGUGGAGGCAACCUUGGGAUACCACCCUUCGGAUUCUGGGCUUCUAACCCGGUGCCGUGAUCCGGGCCGGGAACAGCGUGAGGUGGGCAGUUUGACUGGGGCGGUCGCCUCCUAAAAUGUAACGGAGGCGCGCAAUGGUUCCCUCAGCACGGUUGGAAAUCGUGCGUAGAGCGCAAAGGCAUAAGGGAGCUUGACUGCGAGACUGACAAGUCGAGCAGGUGCGAAAGCAGGCCUUAGUGAUCCGACGGUUGAGAGUGGAAUUGCCGUCGCUCAACGGAUAAAAGGUACUCCGGGGAUAACAGGCUUAUCCUCCCCAAGAGUCCACAUCGACGGGAGGGUUUGGCACCUCGAUGUCGGCUCGUCGCAUCCUGGGGCUGAAGCAGGUCCCAAG
RNAcentral lists this ribosomal RNA (1371 nucleotides) under soil metagenome. Its description in RNAcentral is "bacterial LSU rRNA". It matches the Rfam family "Bacterial large subunit ribosomal RNA", at positions 1223 to 2569 of the family's 2925-position model. The record is from RNAcentral.